Molecule: ribosomal RNA, 267 nt
Filed under: uncultured bacterium
Lineage: Bacteria
Description: partial 16S ribosomal RNA
Rfam family: Bacterial small subunit ribosomal RNA
Source: RNAcentral
UGGGGAAUAUUGCACAAUGGGCGAAAGCCUGAUGCAGCAACGCCGCGUGAGUGAUGAAGGUCUUCGGAUUUGUAAAGCUCUGUCUUUUGGGACGAUAAUGACGGUACCAAAGGAGGAAGCCACGGCUAACUACGUGCCAGCAGCCGCGGUAAUACGUAGGUGGCGAGCGUUGUCCGGAUUUACUGGGCGUAAAGGGUGCGUAGGCGGAUGUUUAAGUGAGAUGUGAAAUACCCGGGCUUAACUUGGGUGCUGCAUUUCAAAAGCUGG